GUGCAUUUCCAGGGGGGAAAGAAGGGGCUUAGUGAAGGAGAAUUUCCACCAUGGUUUCUCUUCCCUUGCCUGAGAACCCUCUGCCGCAUGAUGUGGAAUCCUUUUGUAAGGACCAGGAAGCGGAAGUGAGGUACUUACUCCAGGAGCAGCUCUAGUCCAGCCACCACAUGUCUGGGCUUUGGUCAAGUCCUUACUACUCAAAGUAUAGGCUGUGGCAUGGACCUGGGGCUUGCUAGAAAUGUGACAUUUCAGCUCCACUGACACCUGCUGGGUCAAAGCCUGCAUUUUAAUUGAAGUUUCAGAGCUCUGUAGGAAGUGACACAGUACUGGAUGCUGGGAAUAUAAACUGUUUGGCUCUGUCUUCCUGGAGCUGCAAUCUGAAGUGGGGAAAUCCUGAUGAAUUCACUGAGAACUCGUUCCACAGCGAGAGCAGUAUAGAGAGUGAGGAGAAACAGCUGUCUGGCAGGGCCGUGGAGCCUGAAUCAGGAGAAUCCUUCGAUCCUCCACUAAGGAACCAGAAUCAGGGCUCUGAGAAAUCACGAGCCCGAGCUUACAGCAGAAUGAAGACUGCUUUUAUUCUCUUGUUCCUGUUGAAAAAUAACAACUCUGCCACCCACCCUUGUCUCCUAUUGCAAGAAGACCUCCAGAGUAAUUAAAUUCAACAGUUGAAAUGAUGUCAGCUUCCGCCACAUCCUCAUUGACUGCACCCUUCACCUGUGAGAAGCACCACUGGAAGUCUUGGCUGCCCUUUGGGCAGCCGCAGCCUCGGGCUCCUGACUUGGCAGCAGCGUGGGACAGGGCCUGCCCAGCCGAGCGCUCCCGACCCGAGGCGCCCCACUGAGUGCUCAGCUCUGGCUGCCAUCGCAGCCCAUUGCUUUUUUUUUUUUGCUGUACUGGGGUCAAACUCAAGACUUUGUGCUUGCCAGGCAGGCACAGCGCUGCUGAGGUACAUUACGGGCCCUUUUCUCUCCUUGCUGAGACAGAAUACCGACACCC
This 996-nucleotide long non-coding RNA is filed under the name Heterocephalus glaber (naked mole-rat). RNAcentral describes it as "lncRNA (ENSHGLG00100044541.1)". The record is from RNAcentral. Lineage: Eukaryota; Metazoa; Chordata; Mammalia; Rodentia; Bathyergidae.